RNAcentral lists this ribosomal RNA (423 nucleotides) under uncultured prokaryote. Its description in RNAcentral is "bacterial SSU rRNA". It matches the Rfam family "Bacterial small subunit ribosomal RNA", at positions 355 to 796 of the family's 1533-position model. The record is from RNAcentral.
UAACGAAUAUUCCGCAAUGCGCGAAAGCGUGACGGAGCAAUGCCGCGUGUAGGACGAAGCCCCUCGGGGUGUAAACUACUGUCAGGAUCCAGGAAUUUUGACCAGAUCCAGAGGAAGGACCGGCUAACUCUGUGCCAGCAGCCGCGGUAAUACAGAGGGUCCAAGCGUUGAUCGGAAUCACUGGGCUUAAAGGGUACGCAGGCGGACAUGCAAGUGUGGUGUGAAAGCCCACGGCUCAACCGUGGAAUAGCACUGCAGACUGCAUGUCUUGAGCAUGGCAGGGGUCAUCGGAACUCUAGGUGGAGCGGUGAAAUGCGUAGAUAUCUAGAGGAACGCCAAAAGGGAAGCCAGAUGACUGGGCCAUUGCUGACGCUCAUGUACGAAAGCGUGGGUAGCGAACGGGAUUAGAUACCCCCGUAGUCC